RNAcentral lists this ribosomal RNA (258 nucleotides) under uncultured bacterium. RNAcentral's name for it is "partial 16S ribosomal RNA". It matches the Rfam family "Bacterial small subunit ribosomal RNA", at positions 524 to 776 of the family's 1533-position model. The record is from RNAcentral.
UACGGAGGGAGCUAGCGUUGUUCGGAAUUACUGGGCGUAAAGCGCACGUAGGCGGCUUUUUAAGUCAGGGGGUGAAAUCCCGGGGCUCAACCCCGGAACUGCCCCUUGAAACUGGAAGGCUAGAAUCUUGGAGAGGCGAGUGGAAUUCCGAGUGUAGAGGUGAAAUUCGUAGAUAUUCGGAAGAACACCAGUGGCGAAGGCGACUCGCUGGACAAGUAUUGACGCUGAGGUGGCGAAAAGCGUGGGGAGCCAAACAGG